Vicia villosa (hairy vetch) is the source of this 1502-nucleotide long non-coding RNA. RefSeq lists it as uncharacterized. The transcript is spliced from 4 exons. The record is from RefSeq and is a predicted model, not a curated record. NCBI's taxonomy places the organism in Eukaryota, Viridiplantae, Streptophyta, Magnoliopsida, Fabales, Fabaceae.
AAUUGUCUUGAGAGAUGUAGAGUCAUUUGUAUCAAUCGAGAAUCUAAAGGGAAGAGUUGGGAGAAGUGCAAAUCCUUAAAUAUUUUCAUAUCUUCCCUUUUCCCUGAUAGGUAUUCAUCCCACACAUUAUUUAUCUUUUCUUUCACUAUCAAUGCUUUUGCUAUCAUCUAUCCAGAUUCACAUGGCAGCCUGAAGACAACAACAACAUUUCCCUUCUCUCUUCCAUUUUAUCUCUUAUCCUCUCUCUUUGACUAUCAAACCCUAAAAUCAGCCGCUUCCACCUUCAAAUUCGCUUCACUCCCUCUUCGAAAUCCAUUUCCCUCCCCGAUGUAUCUUCAGUUCAUGAAAUAUGGGUGAGCGGUAGAAAGCUCGAGCAUGGUGUCAUAAUUUGAAGAAGCCUGUCAAGAAGGAUCUAGCAAUGACUGAAGAAGUGACACUUACAGGAAAAAUUAUUUAAUUUUUCUUUUUAAAUUGAGAAAAUUGAAAUAUUUUUGUUCAAAAUUUUUGGAUACAAAAACUUUUGAUACUUGGAAGAUUUUUGUUGGCUUGAAUCAAGUUUUCGCAUUUCGAUUACUAAUUGCCGACGAAUUCCAUCCUCUUCUUUCUCAUUUGAUUUAUCUACUAUGGAAUUGUUGUUGUAUUGUUAUUUAUUGUUGUGGCAGGUUGUGAUUCAUGAAUCAGCAUCGAAUUGUUACUAUAAUUUAUGCUUCGCGACUAUACACGCCAAGUGCUCGACAAAUAUCCUCAAUCAAUUUCUCAAAAGUCCAAAUCACCGUACAUGGAAAUUGGAAAUAAGUUAAAAAUUGGAAUAGAUUAAGUUUAUCUAUCAAUUUUUAAGACAAAGGUUGUCACCGAAGAUGUGAAGAUCGAUCUCUUCGAAGACGAGGAUGAGUUCGAAAUCAAUGAAGAUAUAAAUUUUGUGAGAUAAUCAAUUGCAUAAAGAUGGUGGAAGAUGGUGGAAGUUGUUGUGAAUGAGUUAUAUGAUUUUAUUUGUAAGAAUUGUGGUGGUUUGGAUUUUCAAUUUCAUAAGUUUUGUUGUAUAAAUUGCAGAGUGUACAAAGGAGUUCUUGGAUUAUCUGUCAAUCUCUAUACUUCAAUUUGUAGGAAUUGUGGUGGUUUGAAUUUUCAAUUUCAUAAGUUUUGUUGUAUAAAUUGCAGAGUGUACAAAGGAGUUCUUGGAUUAUCUAUCAAUCUCUAUACUUCAAUUUGUAGGAAUUGUGGUGGUUUGGAUUUUCAAUUUCAUAAGUUUUGUUGUAUAAAUUGCAGAGUGUACAAAGGAGUUCUUUGGAUUAUUUGUCAAUCUCUAUACUUCCUAAAGGUUGAGUUAGCUACUAACUGCUAUUUUAUUUGAAUAAAAGGCUGUUCUUAUAGCAACCUCAGCAUAAUCUAUUCAAAUUGAAGGAGUCACCCCUUUCUUCUAUUCUAUAACUGGUCUCACUCUUGAAAUUUUCCAAACUUGCAUGUUUAUAUACCUACCUCAAUUUGUUUUUCACUUAAUUAUU